UACGUGGGGGCGAGCGUUGUCCGAAAUUACUGGGCGUAAAGAGCGCGUAGGCGGAUUGUUAAGUGAGUGGUGAAAGGUUCAGGGCUCAACCCGGACAUUGCCCUUCAUACUGGCGAUCUUGAGUGUGGGAGAGGCGAGUGGAAUUCCUGGUGUAGCGGUGAAAUGCGUAGAUAUCAGGAGGAACCCCCAUGGCGAAGGCAGCUCGCUGGCCUACAACUGACGCUGAGGCGCGAAAGCGUGGGUAGCAAACAGG
This 253-nucleotide ribosomal RNA is filed under the name uncultured microorganism. Its description in RNAcentral is "partial small subunit ribosomal RNA". It matches the Rfam family "Bacterial small subunit ribosomal RNA", at positions 524 to 776 of the family's 1533-position model. The record is from RNAcentral.